AUAUUGUCCUUACCUGUUAAGUGAAUCACUUGAUAGUGUUCAGUCAGAGUAUCUAUAUGCUCCCAAAUAAAUUCAUUAAUUUUUUUAGAACCUAAAGAGCCACCCAUAAUCAUGAGCACUUGUUUUUUAGCUGAAAAAAGUGUCAGUUUA
RNAcentral lists this non-coding RNA (150 nucleotides) under Jeotgalicoccus meleagridis. Its description in RNAcentral is "Staphylococcus sRNA 414". The stretch from base 10 to 136 matches the Rfam family "Staphylococcus sRNA 414", at positions 30 to 156 of the family's 175-position model. Rfam says of the family: Antisense of an annotated CDS (SAOUHSC_1422) but was considered an trans-encoded sRNA rather than a typical antisense RNA. Target prediction revealed enrichment of iron-coding genes and genes with function in cofator metabolism. Lineage: Bacteria; Bacillati; Bacillota; Bacilli; Caryophanales; Staphylococcaceae. The record is from RNAcentral.